This 408-nucleotide ribosomal RNA is filed under the name Triticum aestivum (bread wheat). RNAcentral's name for it is "partial small subunit ribosomal RNA". Lineage: Eukaryota; Viridiplantae; Streptophyta; Magnoliopsida; Poales; Poaceae. The record is from RNAcentral.
AUGUUUCGGCAGGAAGCCGGCGCCGAGCUGGUGGCGAUGGAGCGCGACCUCACUAUUUGUGCAGUAGCGAUCGCCGAGUAUACCAACACUAGUGUCUUCGUCCCUGAGCUGAACGACAAUGGCGCCGAGGCGCCGCCAGAAUGGUUCGGACUGAACCCGGAUGAUGGCGAAGACUCGGCAGAGGAGAUCGCCUCCAGCGACGAAGGGGAAGACGAGGAAGACGGCGCGCCGGAGGUCGGAGCGGGCGGCCAGCCUCAACUCGACCAUGCCUCCAACACCGAGCUGCGUGCAAGCACGCCGACUGUUGCUGAAAGCGGCCAAGCUGAAACUCGCCAGCUGGCCACUCCACCAGCCGGCACCCCUGGCUCCACCAACCUGCCGGACUCGCCUGCUGCUCCUUUGGUCUAG